Molecule: long non-coding RNA, 472 nt
Filed under: Fukomys damarensis (Damara mole-rat)
Lineage: Eukaryota; Metazoa; Chordata; Mammalia; Rodentia; Bathyergidae
Description: lncRNA (ENSFDAG00000021950.1)
Source: RNAcentral
AUGACAUCAAGGUUUGAAGCCGACUCGGCCAGACUGCGGGGCGAGGAUCCGCGGGAAGCUGGCUUCGCAGUUCCUUCUCGUGGCGGAAGGCUGGGGUUCGGAUGUGGGAAAAGGAACAGCGCCCCUCACCCUUACGUGACGCCUCCCCUUCCAUCUCCGGCUUCUGCAAUAUUAAAUGAAACCAAGAGAGAUAAUAAUGGCACUACAGCUACAGAAGACUCACCUCCUGCCAAGAAAACUCAUAAAUACCAGAGACAGAGAGUAAAAAAGGAGCCUGUGGCUGGAGGAAAGGCUGAUAAGGGCAGGACAGAAGACACGCAAGGCAGUAAGCCAGAGAGGACAUGAGCGGGCAAAAGGGUCUUGGGAAGGGUGGUAGUGAUAUCUUGUUCUUUCAGCUCUCAUUUCUUCCUUCCUUGAAUAUAUAAUCAAUUAAUUUUCUGUGCUUUGUAUGUACCUCAGUACUAAUCCGCUU